This 257-nucleotide ribosomal RNA is filed under the name Escherichia coli. RNAcentral's name for it is "partial 23S ribosomal RNA". It matches the Rfam family "Bacterial large subunit ribosomal RNA", at positions 1088 to 1344 of the family's 2925-position model. Lineage: Bacteria; Pseudomonadati; Pseudomonadota; Gammaproteobacteria; Enterobacterales; Enterobacteriaceae. The record is from RNAcentral.
GACAGCCAGGAUGUUGGCUUAGAAGCAGCCAUCAUUUAAAGAAAGCGUAAUAGCUCACUGGUCGAGUCGGCCUGCGCGGAAGAUGUAACGGGGCUAAACCAUGCACCGAAGCUGCGGCAGCGACACUGUGUGUUGUUGGGUAGGGGAGCGUUCUGUAAGCCUGCGAAGGUGUGCUGUGAGGCAUGCUGGAGGUAUCAGAAGUGCGAAUGCUGACAUAAGUAACGAUAAAGCGGGUGAAAAGCCCGCUCGCCGGAAUA